Molecule: ribosomal RNA, 393 nt
Filed under: uncultured bacterium
Lineage: Bacteria
Description: partial 16S ribosomal RNA
Rfam family: Bacterial small subunit ribosomal RNA
Source: RNAcentral
AUACGGAGGAUCCGAGCGUUAUCCGGAUUUAUUGGGUUUAAAGGGUGCGCAGGCGGGAGAUUAAGUCGGCGGUGAAAUUUUGCAGCUCAACUGUAAAAGUGCCUUCGAAACUGGGUUUCUUGAGUGUAGAAGAAGGAGGCGGAAUUUGUGGUGUAGCGGUGAAAUGCAUAGAUAUCACGAGGAACUCCGAUUGCGCAGGCAGCUUACCAAACUACUACUGACGCUCAGGCACGAAGGCGUGGGGAUCAAACAGGAUUAGAUGCCCUGGUAGUCCACGCAGUAAACGAUGAUUACUAGCUGUUUGCGAUACAAUGUAAGCGGCUGAGCGAAAGCGUUAAGUAAUCCACCUGGGGAGUACGUUCGCAAGAAUGAAACUCAAAUGAAUUGACGGGG